Molecule: microRNA precursor, 173 nt
Filed under: Pelobates cultripes (western spadefoot toad)
Lineage: Eukaryota; Metazoa; Chordata; Amphibia; Anura; Pelobatidae
Source: RNAcentral
CAGCAGACACAUUCCAGCCAAUCAGCAGCAGACCCUCCCUCCCAGAUCCUCUCACCUCCUGGAUAGCUCACUAAGAAUGCAGCUUCACAAUGAAUGUAAAAUGGAUGCUGUCCAGGAGGUGGGAGGGUCUGGGAGGGAGGGUCUGCUGCUGAUUGGCUGGAAUGUGUCUGCUG